AACCUGGUUGAUCCUGCCAGUAGUCAUAUGCUUGUCUCAAAGACUAAGCCAUGCAUGUCUAAGUAUAAGUAUUAUACAGCGAAACUGCGAAUGGCUCAUUAAAACAGUUAUAAUUUAUUUGAUAAUCGAAUUUACAUGGAUAACCGUGGUAAUUCUAGAGCUAAUACAUGCUGUAAAGCCCGACUUCUCGGAAGGGCCGUGUUUAUUAGAUAACAGACCAACAGCUUCGGCUAUUGUGGUGAAUCAUAGUAACUAAUCGGAUCGCAUGGGCUAGUCCCGCGACAAACCAUUCAAGUUUCUGCCCCAUCAGCUUUCGACGGUAGUGUAUUGGACUACCGUGGCUUUUACGGGUAACGGAGGAUUAGGGUUCGAUUCCGGAGAGGGAGCCUGAGAAACGGCUACCACAUCUAAGGAAGGCAGCAGGCGCGUAAAUUACCCAAUUCUGAUUCAGAGAGGUAGUGACAAAGA
Molecule: ribosomal RNA, 468 nt
Filed under: uncultured marine eukaryote
Lineage: Eukaryota
Description: SSU rRNA
Rfam family: Eukaryotic small subunit ribosomal RNA
Source: RNAcentral